GCGCUCAUAGCUCAGCUGGAUAGAGCACUUGGCUACGAACUAAGGGGUCGGGAGUUCGAAUCUCCUCUGAGCGCACCA
Molecule: transfer RNA, 78 nt
Filed under: Acinetobacter baumannii
Lineage: Bacteria; Pseudomonadati; Pseudomonadota; Gammaproteobacteria; Moraxellales; Moraxellaceae
Description: tRNA-Arg
Rfam family: tRNA
About the family: Transfer RNA (tRNA) molecules are approximately 80 nucleotides in length. Their secondary structure includes four short double-helical elements and three loops (D, anti-codon, and T loops).
Source: RNAcentral